UCGAAGGUGAUAAUAAAGUCACACUC
RNAcentral lists this small RNA (26 nucleotides) under Bombyx mori (domestic silkworm). Its description in RNAcentral is "ovarian small RNA-28220". The record is from RNAcentral. Lineage: Eukaryota; Metazoa; Arthropoda; Insecta; Lepidoptera; Bombycidae.